AUGCAUUGGAUAUCAUGGGAUAAACUAGCUACACCGAAAUGCAAAGGUGGAAUGGGCUUUGGUGAUCUCCGCUUGUUCAACCUAGAUCUUUUGGGGAAGCACGGAUGGCGCUUUAUGACUAACCCCAACUCUCUAUGUGCCUGGGUUUUGAAGGGCCGUUACUUCCCAGAUUUUGAGUUUCAGCUUGCCACAAUACCAACAGCCGCAUCUGCUACUUGGCGAGCCAUCGUUGCCGGUCGAGAGGCGCUCGAUGCUGGCCUUAUCAAACGCGUGGGCACCGGUUCAACCAUAUCCAUAUGGGAUGAUCGAUGGAUUCCGUCGACAGUAUCUAUGACUCCCAUGCUGAGACCUCAAAAUGCAUCUGUUGAGUUGGUUGGUGAGUUGAUCGACACUGACAACUGGACAUGGAAGACGGAGUUAGUACAUGAGCUAUUUAUCGGCCCCGAUGCACAAGCUAUUCUGAAUAUACCUUUGCGCCAGGGGGGUGGUGAUGAUUUUAUGGCAUGGGCACACGAAAAAUCUGGCAUCUACACAGUUAAAUCGGCGUACCGGUCUCUAGUGAACAAAAAAGAGCGUUUUGCUCUCGAAGAAGGGACGGGUAUGGGGUCGUCAACUGACAACACAGAGCUAUGGCGUGCCUUAUGGAAACUCAAUGUGAUCCCUAAAGUUCGGGUCUUCUACUGGCGAGUCUUGAGAGGAAUUAUUCCGGUGGAAUGUACCUUAAAGCAUCGCCAUAUUCAGGAGAUCGGAAGAUGCAAAAUCUGCAUGGCCAUGGAUGAGGAUUUAGCUCACGCACUCAUUCAUUGUUCGCAUGCAAAGCAAUUCUGGGUGCAAGCUCAAUAG
This 843-nucleotide ribosomal RNA is filed under the name Triticum aestivum (bread wheat). Its description in RNAcentral is "partial small subunit ribosomal RNA". Lineage: Eukaryota; Viridiplantae; Streptophyta; Magnoliopsida; Poales; Poaceae. The record is from RNAcentral.